CAUAGGUGAUUGAUUCCAGGACCCAUGAAUAUCACAAUCUGUGGAUACUCAAGUCCCUUAUAUAAAUGGCUUUGUAAUUGUUUGAUGGCUGGCAAUGAAGAGGACAUCUUUUUGCCUAUUCUUUCUUCAUUACCCUAAACUGCAAGCCCAGUUCUUCAAUAUCAGACACAGAAGAAGCCAGUAAUUCAAUGCUGCAGCAAAUGGUCAAUUGGUUCCAAUUCAAUUUGCCCAGUAGUGGAAAGGACCACAUGGAAGUGAAUACGAGAUGAGCCGUAGAAGCUGAGAGUGGUUUCUGGCUCAUGGCCACCAAGAAGGUAGAGCUUAUAUCCUACAACUAAGUUCCUGAAUUGUGCCAACAGCCAUGCAAGCUUAAUGGAGCACCCUAAGAUACAGAAUGGAACAAACCUUGUCAACACCUUUUCAGCCUUUUGAGAUCCCUGAGCAGAGAACCCAACUAAGCUAAGCUCAGAGUGAGAACCAAAGAAACUAUGAGAUAAUAAAUGGGUUUUUAAAAGAUACUAAUUUUUGGUAAUUUGUUA
Molecule: long non-coding RNA, 539 nt
Organism: Marmota monax (woodchuck)
Lineage: Eukaryota; Metazoa; Chordata; Mammalia; Rodentia; Sciuridae
Exons: 3
Source: RefSeq, a predicted model, not a curated record